This 347-nucleotide unclassified non-coding RNA is filed under the name uncultured fungus. RNAcentral describes it as "sequence contains ITS1". The stretch from base 1 to 105 matches the Rfam family "5.8S ribosomal RNA", at positions 50 to 154 of the family's 154-position model. Lineage: Eukaryota; Fungi. The record is from RNAcentral.
AAAACGCGAUAGGUAAUGUGAAUUGCAGAAUUCCGUGAAUCAUCAAAUUUUUGAACGCACAUUGCGCCUACUGGUAUUCCGGUAGGCAUAUCUGUUUGAGCGUCAGCAAAACAACCUUCGGUUAUUUUUUUUUUUUAAAAGAAAAUUGUUACCGGUUAUGGGCCUGAAAAAUUCUUUUAGGUUUUAAAUCUGUUACGCAAGCUACUUCCGGUUAGAUUUAUGGAUUGGUGUAAAAUUAUCUUCCGUCAACUUCUGGUCAUAGCUUUCGCUUUCAGGAAUAUCAAGUUUCCUUUUGCAGGUAACUAUAGUUUGACCUCAGAUCAGGUAAGAAUACCCGCUGAACUUAA